GGCGGAUGUAGCUCAAGUGGA
RNAcentral lists this transfer RNA (21 nucleotides) under Melica mutica. RNAcentral describes it as "partial tRNA-His". The record is from RNAcentral. Lineage: Eukaryota; Viridiplantae; Streptophyta; Magnoliopsida; Poales; Poaceae.